This 301-nucleotide ribosomal RNA is filed under the name uncultured bacterium. RNAcentral's name for it is "partial 16S ribosomal RNA". It matches the Rfam family "Bacterial small subunit ribosomal RNA", at positions 509 to 807 of the family's 1533-position model. The record is from RNAcentral.
CAGCAGCCACGGUAAUACGUAGGGUGCGAGCGUUAAUCGGAAUUACUGGGCGUAAAGCGUGCGCAGGCGGUUUCGUAAGACAGGCGUGAAAUCCCCGGGCUCAACCUGGGAAUGGCGCUUGUGACUGCAAAGCUAGAGUGCGGCAGAGGGGGAUGGAAUUCCGCGUGUAGCAGUGAAAUGCGUAGAUAUGCGGAGGAACACCAAUGGUGAAGGCAAUCCCCUGGGCCUGCACUGACGCUCAUGCACGAAAGCGUGGGGAGCAAACAGGAUUAGAUACCCCAGUAGUCCCUGUCUCUUAUAC